GUCCACCUUAAGAUUGGAAAGUUAUAGUUCCUUUUAAGGACAAACCCACGAAGAGGCCAACUUAAGGUGCAAAGGGACUCAUAUGUCCACCUUAAGAUUGGAAAGUUAUAGUUCCUUUUAAGGACAAACCCACGAAGAGGCCAACUUAAGGUGCAAAGGGACUUAUAUGUCCACCUUAAGAUUGGAAAGUUAUAAAGCUUCAACUUGAAGACGACAUCGACUUGAACACUUGGAGAACUUUGAAAAUUUGGCGGACUUUGCAGACUUCAACUCGAAGAUUAGGAGGGCUUAAACAAUUCAACUUUAAGAUCGGCGAAUUGAAGACUGAAACUUGAAGAUCGGCAAACUUGAAGACUUCAACUUUGAGACUUGGAGGGCCUAAAUAUUUCAACUUGAAGAUCGGCGAAUUUGAAGACUUCAACUUGAAGACCGACAGAGUUGAAGAUUUCAACUUGGGGACUUCAACUUGAAUACCGAUGGACUUGAAGACUUCAACUUGGUGACUUCGAGGGCUUAAAUAUUUCAGCUUCUCUUUUGCUUUACAUUGUUUGACUUUUAUCUUAGUCGCAUAAUUUUCAGCUUUACGCGCUUGUAACAAAAGAUUCAUAUCUUGUCGUGGGAGAGUCCAAAUAAUGAACCGUUUGAUGACUUCAUUAUCUAAAAUAUAUCCAACACUUAGAAUCAAAAACCUUCAGAAUCGCACCGGAUAAUAUUUUGAAACCAACUUUAGAUUUCACCGUAUUGAAAAUUUCAGAUGUGCGC
Molecule: long non-coding RNA, 762 nt
Filed under: Nicotiana tabacum (common tobacco)
Lineage: Eukaryota; Viridiplantae; Streptophyta; Magnoliopsida; Solanales; Solanaceae
Description: long non-coding RNA (NTAB_LNC012352)
Source: RNAcentral